UACGGGGGGAGCAAGCGUUGUUCGGAUUUACUGGGCGUAAAGGGCGCGUAGGCGGUCAGCACAGGUCAGUUGUGAAAUCUCCGGGCUUAACUCGGAAAGGUCAACUGAUACUGUGCGACUAGAGUGCGGAAGGGGCAACUGGAAUUCUCGGUGUAGCGGUGAAAUGCGUAGAUAUCGAGAGGAACACCUGCGGCGAAGGCGGGUUGCUGGGCCGACACUGACGCUGAUGCGCGAAAGUCAGGGGAGCGAACGGG
RNAcentral lists this ribosomal RNA (254 nucleotides) under uncultured bacterium. Its description in RNAcentral is "partial 16S ribosomal RNA". It matches the Rfam family "Bacterial small subunit ribosomal RNA", at positions 524 to 776 of the family's 1533-position model. The record is from RNAcentral.